This 253-nucleotide ribosomal RNA is filed under the name uncultured bacterium. Its description in RNAcentral is "partial 16S ribosomal RNA". It matches the Rfam family "Bacterial small subunit ribosomal RNA", at positions 524 to 776 of the family's 1533-position model. The record is from RNAcentral.
UACGAGCGGCCCAAACGUUAUUCGGAUUUACUGGGCUUAAAGAGUUCGUAGGCGGCGCAGAAAGUAGGGUGUGAAAGCCCUCGGCUCAACCGAGGAAUUGCGCCCUAAACUACUGUGCUUGAGGAACCUAGAGGUGAGCAGAACUGAUGGUGGAGCGGUGAAAUGCGUUGAUAUCAUCAGGAAUACCGGAGGCGAAGGCGGCUCACUGGGGGUUAUCUGACGCUGAGGAACGAAAGCCAGGGGAGCGAACGGG